This 676-nucleotide ribosomal RNA is filed under the name unidentified microorganism. RNAcentral's name for it is "bacterial SSU rRNA". It matches the Rfam family "Bacterial small subunit ribosomal RNA", at positions 51 to 719 of the family's 1533-position model. The record is from RNAcentral.
ACACAUGCAGUCGAGCGGUAACACAGGGAGCUUGCUCCUGGGUGACGAGCGGCGGACGGGUGAGUAAUGUCUGGGAAACUGCCUGAUGGAGGGGGAUAACUACUGGAAACGGUAGCUAAUACCGCAUAACGUCGCAAGACCAAAGAGGGGGACCUUCGGGCCUCUUGCCAUCAGAUGUGCCCAGAUGGGAUUAGCUAGUAGGUGGGGUAACGGCUCACCUAGGCGACGAUCCCUAGCUGGUCUGAGAGGAUGACCAGCCACACUGGAACUGAGACACGGUCCAGACUCCUACGGGAGGCAGCAGUGGGGAAUAUUGCACAAUGGGCGCAAGCCUGAUGCAGCCAUGCCGCGUGUAUGAAGAAGGCCUUCGGGUUGUAAAGUACUUUCAGCGGGGAGGAAGGCGAUAAGGUUAAUAACCUUGUCGAUUGACGUUACCCGCAGAAGAAGCACCGGCUAACUCCGUGCCAGCAGCCGCGGUAAUACGGAGGGUGCAAGCGUUAAUCGGAAUUACUGGGCGUAAAGCGCACGCAGGCGGUCUGUCAAGUCGGAUGUGAAAUCCCCGGGCUCAACCUGGGAACUGCAUUCGAAACUGGCAGGCUAGAGUCUUGUAGAGGGGGGUAGAAUUCCAGGUGUAGCGGUGAAAUGCGUAGAGAUCUGGAGGAAUACCGGUGGCGAA